UGCAGAAUCCCGUGAACCAUCGAGUCUUUGAACGCAAGUUGCGCCCCAAGCCAUUUGGCCGAGGGCACGUCUGCCUGGGUGUCACGC
RNAcentral lists this ribosomal RNA (87 nucleotides) under Aesculus parviflora. RNAcentral's name for it is "partial 5.8S ribosomal RNA". It matches the Rfam family "5.8S ribosomal RNA", at positions 73 to 154 of the family's 154-position model. From Rfam's summary of the family: 5.8S ribosomal RNA (5.8S rRNA) is a component of the large subunit of the eukaryotic ribosome. It is transcribed by RNA polymerase I as part of the 45S precursor that also contains 18S and 28S rRNA. Functionally, it is thought that 5.8S rRNA may be involved in ribosome translocation. Lineage: Eukaryota; Viridiplantae; Streptophyta; Magnoliopsida; Sapindales; Sapindaceae. The record is from RNAcentral.